GCUCACUCAUGAGUUUGAAAUGGUUCCUUUUUCCAUCAAGUUAAAAAGAAAAUAAAUUUUGACAAGAGAUAUGAAAUGAUGCAAGCUUGGCUUAGACUGCAUCUCUACUAUUUUGAUUGUGUUCUACUUUGAUUCAAUUCAGGGUACAACUUUGUAUUAGCAGGAUUGCUUGCUUCCCUUAAGUUAAUCAGAGGAACCUUAGCUGAUCACACAUUCUCCGUAAGUGAAAUUCUUACUUCUAUAUUUUGGUUAUUGAAGGCUGGAACUGGUAUAGCAGAGUUGAUAGCUUUUGAGAUUUCUAAGCAGGUAUAACUUGGUUUUAAUACUUAAUUGUUUAUUUCUAAACGUAUUCUUUUAUCUCAAGUAGUUAAAUUAAAUUCUAUCAUUUUGGCCACACAAAAGCCCCGGUCGAAGAGACUUGCAAGAAGAUUUGGAUUGUGGACUCCAAGCUUUUGUUAUCCCCUUUCUCCGUUAAGGCUUUUGUGCUGAAUCCGGUUUAGUAAGCAACUCGGUUCGGUUUGUUUUGAAUUCAUGCGUAGCUACUGGGCUUAUUCUUGGUUCUGCACUGCUGUCUAAUUGUUGCAGGUGCAGAGCAUUUGGUUUUCUCAUUGUGUCGAGUGCAAGGUUGAUUCGGUUUGGCUUUGGUUUGAUGCUUUCAAUUUUCUUAUGUACUUUAAUUGCCAGUUCUGUUCCAUCAUUUGUAUAGCAGGCUCCAAGGAACGGCUGCAGUAAACUAUAGAAUGUUGUUGUAAUGGGUAGAAAAUCAUGGGAGGCUCUCCCUCUUGAGAGCAGGCUUCUCAGUGGACGACUUAAUGUUGUUCUGACUUGCUCAGGCAGAGGGAAUUUUUGUGAGUCCGUAUGGUCUGAGGAAAGCCCUGGAGAAUGUAACUGUUCCAAACGGCAAUUCAUCGGAGGAUAAAUUAUCACUGGGCCAAGUUAACAAGUUCGAUAUUUUCUCUGUCCAACUCUUCAAAGAAUUUUGUAGUAAAUGGUAAUAUUAUAAGAUUUGUUAUAGACUUGAAUUAAGAAGCUUGAUGUCAAACACAGUAGAUACAAAGAACAGAUCAAGAAAGCAAGGUAUGGUCCUACUCUCGAAGCUAUUAAAUCUAGAGCCAUGCAAUUUCUUAAACAAAAGAGAAUGUAUGAAGGUCAACGCGACAUGUUGUACAAUCAGACAUUUAACCUCGAUCAAGUUUAAUUUGCUGCUGGGGGAAUUAAAGAUGCUCAACAAACUAUAAGGUUUCCACCAAGUCGAAGACAUUUAGGUCUCCGCAACGCAUGGCACACCGCAGAAUUAAGAAACUGUUGUCUUCUAAAUACUGGAAUGUCGCUCCAAAAUUGAAGUUAUGCCAACUGUCUAGAUCUGGUGCUGGCUGAAUCAGAUAUUAAACCAUGUUGGAUGACUGCUGAACCGAAAUAUUACGACUGUUGUACCGAAGGAUGCAGGGACUGAACCAAAUCAUACAGCUGCUGUACUUAAAGAUUUUCUGUAGAUUGAUUAAACACUUGAUUUCAAUGUUGAUGUUUCAACCUCUCUUCCCUUGAUGACUUAAAUUUCAGGAAAGAAGAAUUGUUACGAAUUUUGGAUCAAUUGCUAAGAGACAAGGAUGAUAUAAUUAUGGCUACACCUUAUACAGGUUCUAUUUUGGAUCAAUUACUAAAAGACAAGGAUGAUUUUAGUUGUGUUUUCCUUAUCCAUAUUGAAUUAUAUAUCAAUUGCUAUAUCGAUAUUAUCUUUUGGGGCCUAUAUCAAGCUUAAAAGAUGUUGAUUAUAUACAGCUAACACGAAGAAUAUUGAAAGUAUUGCAAGAAUGGUUAGUGGAAAAGUAUCUUGAUUUUGUGGAAUCAAUAUGGCCACAUUAUUUUCGGAUGAUCAGAUUUUUGAUGUCGUCUAAUCUUAUUCGAGUUUGAAUGCAUUCUUAAAGGUACUGUUCAGGAGAGUUAAAGGGAGUUUGAUUGGAGGCGGUAUUCUAUAGCAUAGAAAUUUUCCAUUGAGAUGUAGUCAAUCACAUUUUAUCCUCUGGGGUUUGAGCAAGUUAAUGAUAAUGAGGAAACAAGUUCCUAAUUCAUGUUAUCUUGAAUUGAUUUUAUUCUUAGAUUAGGUUGGAAUUGAUUUUAUCAUUGAAUGGUUGCUUAGUUUUCAAGGUUCUAUAUAAGAUUGACAGUCGACUCAUACAACUGAGUUUUAAAAAAUCAAUUGACACAAUGCAGGCUGCAUUGUAGUGCUUUCAACAAUGGAAACAUUAUCGUAAAAGUCUUUGGUCAGUCGGUGCGGUUAAGAAAGCAGUGAUACAUUGACGUUUAAAGAGAAAAGGCUUUCAUGCAAGAAGAUUACAUGAGGAUGAAGUUGGCACCCAAGCAAGCAAAGUUGUUAUUCUAUGCAAUAUCGAGAGCUGCGACCUCUGCUUCCAAUGCAUUCAGGUUCUCACUCUCUUUCUUCUUUCACUUUCAUGUUUUGUUAUUAGAUUUAGUAUGUACAAAUAUGGUUAUUUAAACAAUGGCUUCCCAAGUAUUUCAUAAAUGUGACUUAUAAGAAUUUAAAUUUAAUUGAGAAGUUCUCAUGAAUAGGUAAUUAAUUUAAGUUGGACCUAAUUUGAUGAUGUGUUUUUUGGAGUUUCACUUAGCAGAUUGGUUUUCACCUGGAACAAUGAAGAGAAAAAUGAAGAGGAUACAAGACCUACAAGGCAGCAUAGUUCCUUCAAGCUAAGUGGGAUCAAUUCCCAUUGAAUCUAACUUAUGUGUUGGUAACCUCUAGGGGUAUCUGGACUAUGUCAACAGAAAAGCAAAACUGAUAACAUCAGAGUAAGACUUCUUAAUAGUGUAAGUUCACAGGCAGGCUAAUGUUAGUCUCAAACUUUAUUUCUUUUUACACGAACACCACUUCUCAAAAACAAGGAACAAGAAAACUGCAGACUGCAUAAAUUCUUGAGAUUGAAUUGUGGCAUCGGAUACGCAACAAUCAUCAUCAGCAUCAUCAACAUCUUUAAAGGGUUUGAUGCAUUGGAGGUGUCUGCAGGGAACCGUUACGAUAACUGGAAGCACGCGUACACCGGCAUUAUUGCAGCAUUGGGGGACAUUGCGGUACUUUUAAAAGCUUACACAUGGAUCAUUGAGAUUGUAGUUGCACAUUAGAAUCUGAUAUUGAAGCUGCACAUGGAGCUCUAUGUAGCAUAAUUUGUACUCAGCCUAGAAGAAUAUCUGCUAUAUAUGUUUCUGAAAGAGUAGCGGCAUCCAUGAGCUAUUUUGUUAGCAUGCUUUUGGUUUAGAUUUUACAUUGUCAGUGGAGUAUACCUGAUAUAUAGUGGUGUGAAAAUUUUGAUCUCUUUUAUUUUCUCAUUAUUUGCUCUGUAAUGACUAUUUAUGCUCUACACGCCUGGAUCUGUUGGUUUUUCUCUAAAUUUGUAUGUAAUCAUUUCCUGCUUACUUUGCUGACAUUGUUUUUCAGUUUACGGUAGAACUUUUUAAUAACCACCAUUAUAGCUGCAGCGUGAAUUUUAACAAUAAUCCCCAACAUUGAAAAGAUGACUAUGAAUGGUGUCUUGAAAAAUAAUUUCUAGACAUUUUCUGAAAUACUACUAAUCUUCUAAAAUGCUUAUUGAGUAGGUUUAGUAUGUGUAAAUACUAAGUGUUAAUUGAAUAUAAUUGAAAUUCCAACAGGACAAUUGAAAUGUUUAGUUAUAUUACAUAUUACAAUUUGCUGAACUUAUAUCCUCAUCUUUGAAUU
Vicia villosa (hairy vetch) is the source of this 3724-nucleotide long non-coding RNA. RefSeq lists it as uncharacterized. The record is from RefSeq and is a predicted model, not a curated record. The transcript is spliced from 7 exons. NCBI's taxonomy places the organism in Eukaryota, Viridiplantae, Streptophyta, Magnoliopsida, Fabales, Fabaceae.